This 660-nucleotide long non-coding RNA is filed under the name Oreochromis niloticus (Nile tilapia). RNAcentral describes it as "lncRNA (ENSONIG00000030914.1)". Lineage: Eukaryota; Metazoa; Chordata; Actinopteri; Cichliformes; Cichlidae. The record is from RNAcentral.
AAGAUAUUAAGUGACUGGUUUAGUUUGUGUGCUUGUUUGUUGUUUGUUAGCAGGGCUACUAAAAAAGACUGUAGUAGUGCUUGGCCACUCACAGAAGUGAAUAGUUUUUGGAUAUAAUCUGAAAUUAAAAGAUUUACCAUUUUAAUGUGGUCAACAAAACCUUAAGAAAGAAAAACAUCUGGGCCUACAUCUCCUUCUUGAUUCAAGGACUCCGUUCACAUGUGGAGGAAAUCUUCAGCCUGGGUGGAGUUACAACAGUCUUGAUCUGGUCUCCUCAUAUUAUGUAACUCAUGUCUGAUUGGUUGCAACACUAUUGCCAGUCUGCAUUCUGGCAAAUGGCAUCUAUGCCUGAAUAAACAGCCAUCGAUUUAUUUCAGAAAGCCAGUCAUCCAGUCGUGUCACUUAUUUAAACUUAAGAUGAGUUCAGUGAUUUAAAGGAUCCUGACAACAUGCAUCUAAGGUUACAGAGAGUGAAAACCUGAGGUUGUCUUGAUGCAUCAUCCAGGUGAGGAAAUCCCAAAAAGUGCUGAAACGUUUCUCCCACUAAAAAUCCUAAAUCCAGAUGAACACAAUCAACAUUUUGGGAAAACCCAAGCUACAAUCACCUACGAUAUAAAACAUCAGAUAAAAAGCUCUUCUGUCGAGAUGGAAAAUUACUGA